This 430-nucleotide long non-coding RNA is filed under the name Coturnix japonica (Japanese quail). RNAcentral describes it as "lncRNA (ENSCJPG00005001302.1)". Lineage: Eukaryota; Metazoa; Chordata; Aves; Galliformes; Phasianidae. The record is from RNAcentral.
AUGUCCCUGAGCAUCCUUUCCUGCAGAACAAAUUGUAUCCUAACCAGCUGUGUUAACUAUUCAGAACAGCUUCCAUCCCGUUACAUAAACAAAUGCUUUCUGCCCUUUCAAUCAGGAUCUCCCUGGAGCUGCUCCUUACUAUCUCCAUCCUCCCAUGUGCUAUGGAGGCCUGAUGCUGUCAAGGACCAUGCACCUUUUGGGGUGCUUGGCACUGAAAUGCCCAUGAAGCCUUUACUGUUAAUCAAGAGGGGAAGAUUAGAGGAGAUCAGAACUACCAGCCUGAAGAACGCUUUGCAUUUGACUACACCUUUCUACCAGCAUGUUUUUCUGCUGAAAUCUCUGCAGGGAGAAGUUCUCCAGGUAAGGCUACAUCUGCAGCCUGAGCUCUCCCCUUCUAAAUUCUAACUAAGCCAUCUCAUACUGAUUUUUG